UACGUAGGGUGCGAGCGUUGUCCGGAAUUAUUGGGCGUAAAGAGCUCGUAGGCGGUCUGUCGCGUCGAUCGUGAAAACUUGGGGCUUAACCCUGAGCUUGCGGUCGAUACGGGCAUGACUGGAGUUCGGCAGGGGAGACUGGAAUUCCUGGUGUAGCGGUGAGAUGCGCAGAUAUCAGGAGGAACACCGGUGGCGAAGGCGGGUCUCUGGGCCGAUACUGACGCUGAGGAGCGAAAGCGUGGGGAGCGAACAUG
RNAcentral lists this ribosomal RNA (254 nucleotides) under uncultured bacterium. Its description in RNAcentral is "partial 16S ribosomal RNA". It matches the Rfam family "Bacterial small subunit ribosomal RNA", at positions 524 to 776 of the family's 1533-position model. The record is from RNAcentral.